Molecule: ribosomal RNA, 419 nt
Filed under: uncultured Glomeromycotina
Lineage: Eukaryota; Fungi; Glomeromycota
Description: SSU rRNA
Rfam family: Eukaryotic small subunit ribosomal RNA
Source: RNAcentral
ACGUACUGGUAUUGUUGGUUUCUCCCUUCUGACGAACCAUGAUGUCAUUUAUUUGGUGUUGUGGGGAAUCAGGACUGUUACUUUGAAAAAAUUAGAGUGUUUAAAGCAGGCUCACGCUUGAAUACAUUAGCAUGGAAUAAUGAAAUAGGACGUUUGAUUCUAUUUUGUUGGUUUCUAGGAUCGACGUAAUGAUUAAUAGGGAUAGUUGGGGGCAUUAGUAUUCAAUUGUCAGAGGUGAAAUUCUUGGAUUUAUUGAAGACUAACUACUGCAAAAGCAUUUGCCAAGGAUGUUUUCAUUAAUCAAGAACGAAAGUUAGGGGAUCGAAGACGAUCAGAUACCAUCGUAGUCUUAACCAUAAACUAUGCCGACUAGGGAUCGGAUGAUGUUAAUUUUUUAAUGACUCAUUCGGCGCCUUACG